UACGAAGGGGGCUAGCGUUGUUCGGAAUCACUGGGCGUAAAGCGUAUGUAGGCGGAUUGUUAAGUCAGGGGUGAAAUCCCGAGGCUCAACCUCGGAACUGCCUUUGAUACUGACGAUCUGGAGAUCGGGAGAGGUUGGUGGAAUUCCGAGUGUAGAGGUGAAAUUCGUAGAUAUUCGGAGGAACACCAGAAGCGAAGGCGGCCAACUGGCCCGAUACUGACGCUGAGGCGCGAAAGCGUGGGGAGCAAACAGG
RNAcentral lists this ribosomal RNA (253 nucleotides) under uncultured bacterium. RNAcentral's name for it is "partial 16S ribosomal RNA". It matches the Rfam family "Bacterial small subunit ribosomal RNA", at positions 524 to 776 of the family's 1533-position model. The record is from RNAcentral.